Molecule: non-coding RNA, 72 nt
Organism: Jaculus jaculus (lesser Egyptian jerboa)
Lineage: Eukaryota; Metazoa; Chordata; Mammalia; Rodentia; Dipodidae
Source: the annotation of a RefSeq genome assembly
GGGGAUGUAGCUCAGUGGUAGAGCUCAUGCUUAGCAUGCAUGAGGACCUAGGUUCAAUCCCCAGUAUCUCCA